RNAcentral lists this ribosomal RNA (918 nucleotides) under uncultured bacterium. RNAcentral describes it as "bacterial SSU rRNA". It matches the Rfam family "Bacterial small subunit ribosomal RNA", at positions 8 to 892 of the family's 1533-position model. The record is from RNAcentral.
AGAGUUUGAUGGUGGCUCAGGACGAACGCUGGCGGCGUGCUUAACACAUGCAAGUCGAACGAGAGCGUAGAGAAAGCUUGCUUUUUCUACAAUCUAGUGGCAAACGGGUGAGUAACGCGUAAACAACCUGCCCUACGGAUGGGGACAACAGCUGGAAACGGCUGCUAAUACCGAAUACGUUCCGAAAGUCGCAUGACUAUCGGAAGAAAGGAUGGCCUCUAUUUAUAAGCUAUCGCCGGAGGAGGGGUUUGCGUCUGAUUAGCUAGUUGGAGGGGUAACGGCCCACCAAGGCGACGAUCAGUAGCCGGUCUGAGAGGAUGAACGGCCACAUUGGAACUGAGACACGGUCCAGACUCCUACGGGAGGCAGCAGUGGGGAAUCUUCCGCAAUGGGCGAAAGCCUGACGGAGCAACGCCGCGUGAGUGAAGACGGCCUUCGGGUUGUAAAGCUCUGUUAUACGGGACGAAUAAUCUUGUGGUUAAUACCCAUGAGAAGUGACGGUACCGUAAGAGAAAGCCACGGCUAACUACGUGCCAGCAGCCGCGGUAAUACGUAGGUGGCAAGCGUUGUCCGGAAUUAUUGGGCGUAAAGGGCGCGCAGGCGGCUUCUUAAGUCUGUCUUAAAAGUGCGGGGCUUAACCCCGUGAUGGGAUGGAAACUGGGAAGCUCAGAGUAUCGGAGAGGAAAGCGGAAUUCCUAGUGUAGCGGUGAAAUGCGUAGAUAUUAGGAGGAACACCAGUGGCGAAAGCGGCUUUCUGGACGAAAACUGACGCUGAGGCGCGAAAGCCAGGGGAGCGAACGGGAUUAGAUACCCCGGUAGUCCUGGCCGUAAACGAUGGGUACUAGGUGUAGGAGGUAUCGACCCCUUCUGUGCCGGAGUUAACGCAAUAAGUACCCCGCCUGGGGAGUACGCCGCAAG